UCUAAUCCUAACGGAACAUGCAUUUGUUAGUCAAAAACUAGAUUAAAACUAUUUAAAAUGCUAAGUCAAAAUUUAAUCCUAAAGAAACAUGCAUUUAAAAUGGUAAAAUAAGUCCUUUAAGGGGCAAAAUGGUCAUUUCAUAUGAAUAUUCAAUUUAAGGAUAAAAUUAAAUCCUAAUCAACAUCCUGACUAAAAUCUAAAAAUUAAUCAAGUUCUAAGAAAAGUAGUUUAAUCAAAUCAAAGAAACCUAAUUAUUUUUAAAAAUCUAACUAAACUAAAAAAUAACAAUUAAUAUUUUAAUUAAUCCUAAUUUUUAUUCUACUUAAAUAUCCUAAUUCUAAUUAGUCAUAAAAAUCUAACUUAAUUAAACUAAUCCUAAAAAACUCUAAAUGGCCUAAUUAAUAAAAAUAAAACUAAACAAAAAACAACAAAAUGA
RNAcentral lists this long non-coding RNA (436 nucleotides) under Lathyrus oleraceus (garden pea). RNAcentral's name for it is "Pisum sativum (pea) long non-coding RNA (PSAT_LNC009215)". The record is from RNAcentral. Lineage: Eukaryota; Viridiplantae; Streptophyta; Magnoliopsida; Fabales; Fabaceae.